GAUGAAGAACGUAGCGAAAUGCGAUAAGUAAUGUGAGUUGCAGAAUUCAGUGAAUCAUCGAAUCUUUGAACGCACCUUGCGCCCCUUGGUUAUUCCAAAGGGCAUGCCUGUUUGAGUAUCAUGAACACCUCAACUCUUGUGGUUUCCCACAAUGAGCUUGGACUGUGGAGGUUUUGUUGGCCCUGUGGUCAGCUCCUCUCAAAUGGAUCAGCUUACCGGUGUUUGGUGGCAUUACGGGUGUGAUAACUAUCUACGCUCGUGGUCGUCUCCAAAUAACCUCCAGUGAUGGAGGUUCGCUGGAGCUUAUAAAUGUCUCUCCCCAGUGAAGACAGCCUUUGAACGUUCGAUCUCAAAUCAGGUAGGACUACCCGCUGAACUUAAGCAUAUCAAUAAGCGGAGGA
Molecule: unclassified non-coding RNA, 401 nt
Filed under: soil metagenome
Description: partial contains 5.8S ribosomal RNA, internal transcribed spacer 2, and large subunit ribosomal RNA
Rfam family: 5.8S ribosomal RNA (bases 1-121)
Source: RNAcentral